This 1185-nucleotide ribosomal RNA is filed under the name uncultured bacterium. Its description in RNAcentral is "bacterial SSU rRNA". It matches the Rfam family "Bacterial small subunit ribosomal RNA", at positions 28 to 1179 of the family's 1533-position model. The record is from RNAcentral.
GACGAACGCUGGCGGCGUGCCUAAUACAUGCAAGUUGAACGCACUGACGUCGACAGAAGGUGCUUGCACUGGAAGUUGAUUGACGUGAGUGGGGGACGGGUGAGUAACACGUGGGUAACCUGCCCUUAAGCGGGGGAUAACAUUUGGAAACAGAUGCUAAUACCGCAUAAAAGUUGAGAUCACAUGGUCUUAAUUUGAAAGACGGCCUUUGGCUGUCACUUAAGGAUGGACCCGCGGCGUAUUAGCUAGUUGGUGAGAUAAUAGCCCACCAAGGCGAUGAUACGUAGCCGACCUGAGAGGGUAAUCGGCCACAUUGGGACUGAGACACGGCCCAAACUCCUACGGGAGGCAGCAGUAGGGAAUCUUCCACAAUGGACGAAAGUCUGAUGGAGCAACGCCGCGUGAGUGAAGAAGGUUUUCGGAUCGUAAAACUCUGUUGUUGGAGAAGAACAGGGACUAGAGUAACUGUUAGUCCUUUGACGGUAUCCAACCAGAAAGCCACGGCUAACUACGUGCCAGCAGCCGCGGUAAUACGUAGGUGGCAAGCGUUGUCCGGAUUUAUUGGGCGUAAAGCGAGCGCAGGCGGUUUCUUAAGUCUGAUGUGAAAGCCUUCGGCUUAACCGAAGAAGUGCAUCAGAUACUGGGAAACUUGAGUGCAGAAGAGGAAAGUGGAACUCCAUGUGUAGCGGUGAAAUGCGUAGAUAUAUGGAAGAACACCAGUGGCGAAGGCGGCUUUCUGGUCUGUAACUGACGCUGAGGCUCGAAAGUAUGGGGAGCGAACAGGGUUAGAUACCCUGGUAGUCCAUACCGUAAACGAUGAAUGCUAAGUGUUGGAGGGUUUCCGCCCUUCAGUGCUGCAGCUAACGCAUUAAGCAUUCCGCCUGGGAGUACGACCGCAAGGUUGAAACUCAAAGGAAUUGACGGGGGCCCGCACAAGCGGUGGAGCAUGUGGUUUAAUUCGAAGCUACGCGAAGAACCUUACCAGGUCUUGACAUCUAGCGCCAAUCCUAGAGAUAGGACGUUCCCUUCGGGGACGCUAAGACAGGUGGUGCAUGGUUGUCGUCAGCUCGUGUCGUGAGAUGUUGGGUUAAGUCCCGCAACGAGCGCAACCCUUAUGAUUAGUUGCCAGCAUUUAGUUGGGCACUCUAAUCAGACUGCCGGUGACAAACCGGAGGAAGGGGGGGA